GACGAACGCUGGCGGCGUGCUUAACACAUGCAAGUCGAACGGAAAGGCCCUGCUUUUGUGGGGUGCUCGAGUGGCGAACGGGUGAGUAACACGUGAGUAACCUGCCCUUGACUUUGGGAUAACUUCAGGAAACUGGGGCUAAUACCGGAUAGGAGCUCCUGCUGCAUGGUGGGGGUUGGAAAGUUUCGGCGGUUGGGGAUGGACUCGCGGCUUAUCAGCUUGUUGGUGGGGUAGUGGCUUACCAAGGCUUUGACGGGUAGCCGGCCUGAGAGGGUGACCGGCCACAUUGGGACUGAGAUACGGCCCAGACUCCUACGGGAGGCAGCAGUGGGGAAUAUGGCACAAUGGGCGGAAGCCUGAUGCAGCAACGCCGCGUGCGGGAUGACGGCCUUCGGGUGGUAAACCGCUUUCGCCUGUGACGAAGCGUGAGUGACGGUAAUGGGUAAAGAAACACCGGCUAACUACGU
Molecule: ribosomal RNA, 467 nt
Filed under: uncultured bacterium
Lineage: Bacteria
Description: partial 16S ribosomal RNA
Rfam family: Bacterial small subunit ribosomal RNA
Source: RNAcentral